ACUGCGGCAUCUGGUCCACCGGUGUCUUCCUAGUCAGAGGGAAGCUGUACGGGUUGGAGGAGGCGGCUCGGCUCGCACAGGAAACAGUGUGUUCAGCAUGCCAACAAACAGGUGCAAUAAUGGGCUGCUUCCAGAAGGGCUGUCCCAGAAACUACCACUACAGAUGUGCCAUCCAGUCAGGCUGCGUCCUCAAUGAAGAGAACUUCUCAAUGAGAUGUACAGAGCACAAGAACAAACCAUUCACAAGUGUAACCAGACAACACAAGAGAUGAUGCAGAGGACGUGGGGGCACUGGAGAACGAUCCACAGAUCUCCUCAGGGUGCGACGUGAGCUGCCUGACUUCACCUCUGCUGUUUUAUAACACUAAUUAAUGUGUGUGCUCGAGCAGAAGGACAAACCUUCUGGUAAGAUUUCACUUGUCAUGACAGACAGAUCAA
Seriola dumerili (greater amberjack) is the source of this 438-nucleotide long non-coding RNA. RefSeq lists it as uncharacterized. The record is from RefSeq and is a predicted model, not a curated record. NCBI's taxonomy places the organism in Eukaryota, Metazoa, Chordata, Actinopteri, Carangiformes, Carangidae. The transcript is spliced from 5 exons.